GACGAACGCUGGCGGCGUGCCUAAUACAUGCAAGUAGAACGCUGAAGGAGGAGCUUGCUUCUCCGGAUGAGUUGCGAACGGGUGAGUAACGCGCAGGUAACCUGCCUGGUAGCGGGGGAUAACUAUUGGAAACGAUAGCUAAUACCGCAUAAGAGCAGAUGUUGCAUGACAUUUGCUUAAAAGGUGCAAUUGCAUCACUACCAGAUGGACCUGCGUUGUAUUAGCUAAUUGGUGGGGUAAUGGCUAACCAAGGCGACGAUACAUAGCCGACCUGAGAGGGUGAUCGGCCACACUGGGACUGAGACACGGCCCAGACUCCUACGGGAGGCAGCAGUAGGGAAUCUUCGGCAAUGGACGGAAGUCUGACCGAGCAACGCCGCGUGAGUGAAGAAGGUUUUCGGAUCGUAAAGCUCUGUUGUAAGAGAAGAACGAGUGUGAGAGUGGAAAGUUCACACUGUGACGGUAUCUUACCAGAAAGGGACGGCUAACUACGUGCCAGCCGCCGCGGUAA
RNAcentral lists this ribosomal RNA (511 nucleotides) under uncultured bacterium. RNAcentral's name for it is "partial 16S ribosomal RNA". It matches the Rfam family "Bacterial small subunit ribosomal RNA", at positions 28 to 523 of the family's 1533-position model. The record is from RNAcentral.